AGGUUUUGGUUAUGAGACUAUCUUGAACAUAGUUUAAAUCUGAUGAAAAUUUGGGAAGUGUUUUCCCUGCCGAGCAACGUGCUGCACAAGGUUUUAGAGUUGAGGAAUAUUGCGUGGCUACUGCCUGUAGUAUGCUCCUCAGCCAAAAUUGAAGAAUAUGUUGAAUUUGUAGAUGACUUGUGUGUUUCUGAUACAAUCACAGUCGUCAACAUGCUUAGAGAAUUCUCCCUGGUGUAUCUCAAUAUGAUGCCUCUGCACACUAGCACGCAAAAUGGAUAUUUAUUUAGCUCAUUAUCAAAUUUUUGUGUUCUUCGAGGUGUUUGUUUACGAACUAGUUAAUUGUUGGAUACUUCUGUGCAAAAACAUUUGAUCUGCAGUUGUGUCGUUUCACGUAAGUCUUUAGUAUCUCCACUAUCGAAGUCUGAAAUCUCAUUUAUCUCUACGAGACUCUCUUGUCUGAAUAAUCAGUGCUCCACUUGACGACGUUGCAUUGCAAUGUGACACUCAAAAACAUUAAAAAACCGAGAGCUUUGCAUGAAAACUUAAAAUUGGAGCACUUUUGUCUCACAAGUUACAAAAUAGGGAGACAUAGAAUGGU
This 598-nucleotide long non-coding RNA is filed under the name Physcomitrium patens. Its description in RNAcentral is "long non-coding RNA (PPAT_LNC003854)". Lineage: Eukaryota; Viridiplantae; Streptophyta; Bryopsida; Funariales; Funariaceae. The record is from RNAcentral.